This 230-nucleotide unclassified non-coding RNA is filed under the name uncultured fungus. Its description in RNAcentral is "sequence contains ITS1, 5.8S rRNA gene". The stretch from base 182 to 230 matches the Rfam family "5.8S ribosomal RNA", at positions 1 to 49 of the family's 154-position model. The record is from RNAcentral. Lineage: Eukaryota; Fungi.
UCUCCGUAGGUUAACCUGCGGAGGGAUCAUUGCCGAGUGAGGGUUCCGGCCCGACCUCCAACCCUUUGUGAAUUCGACCCAGUUGCCUCGGGGACGACCCGGCCCUCCUGGGCGUCGGGGCCCCCGGUGGUCCAUCUCAACCCUGCAUCUGUGCGUCUGAGUAAAUACUUGAAUCAAUCAAAACUUUCAACAACGGAUCUCUUGGUUCUGGCAUCGAUGAAGAACGCAGC